UAAAGGUUUCGUAGCCGGUUUGGUCAGUCUCCGGGAAAUUGACGGCUUAACCGUUAGGCUUUCGGAGGAUACUGCCACGCUGGAACCGGGAGAGGUAAGAGUACUACAGGGGUAGGAGUGAAUCUUGUAAUCCCUGUGGGACCACCUGUGGCGAAGGCGUUUUACCAGAACGGGUUCGACGGUGAGGGACGAAAGCUGGGGCACGAACCGGAUUAGAUACCCGGGUAGUCCCAGCCGUAAACGAUGCUCGCUAGGUGUCAGGCAUGGCGCGACCGUGUCUGGUGCCGCAGGGAAGCCGUGAAGCGAGCCACCUGGGAAGUACGGCCGCAAGGCUGAAACUUAAAGGAAUUGGCGGGGGAGCACAACAACGGGUGGAGCCUGCGGUUUAAUUGGACUCAACGCCGGACAACUCACCGGGGGCGACAGCAAUAUGUAGGCCAAGCUGAAGACUUUGCCUGAAUCGCUGAGAGGAGGUGCAUGGCCGUCGCCAGUUCGUACUGUGAAGCAUCCUGUUGAGUCAGGCAACGAGCGAGACCCGUGCCCACUGUUACCAGCAUGUCCUCCGGGACGAUGGGUACACUGUGGGGACCGCCGGUGUUAAAUCGGAGGAAGGUGCGGGCCACGGUAGGUCAGUAUGCCCCGAAUCUCCCGGGCUACACGCGGGCUACAAUGGAUGGGACAAUGGGUCCCUCCCCUGAAAAGGGCUGGCAAUCUCACAAACCCAUCCUUAGUUCGGAUCGAGGGCUGUAACUCGCCCUCGUGAAGCUGGAAUCCGUAGUAAUCGCGUUUCAAUAUAGCGCGGUGAAUACGUCCCUGCUCCUUGCACACACCGCCCGUCAAACCACCCGAGUGAGGUAUGGGUGAGGGCACGGACACUGUGCCGUGUUCGAACCUGAAUUUUGCAAGGGGGGUUAAGUCGUAACAAGGUAGCC
This 932-nucleotide ribosomal RNA is filed under the name uncultured methanogenic archaeon. RNAcentral's name for it is "bacterial SSU rRNA". It matches the Rfam family "Archaeal small subunit ribosomal RNA", at positions 511 to 1448 of the family's 1478-position model. The record is from RNAcentral. Lineage: Archaea; Methanobacteriati; Methanobacteriota.